UAACUAGUCCGUAUUACCCCGGUAGUACGCCGACUUCUUAGAGGGACUAUCGGCUCAAGCCGAUGGAAGUUUGAGGCAAUAACAGGUCUGUGAUGCCCUUAGAUGUUCUG
RNAcentral lists this ribosomal RNA (110 nucleotides) under Acremonium sp. RNAcentral's name for it is "partial small subunit ribosomal RNA". It matches the Rfam family "Eukaryotic small subunit ribosomal RNA", at positions 1352 to 1484 of the family's 1831-position model. The record is from RNAcentral. Lineage: Eukaryota; Fungi; Ascomycota; Sordariomycetes; Hypocreales; Bionectriaceae.